UUCCUACGGGGGGCUGCAGUGGGGAAUAUUGGACAAUGGGGGCAACCCUGAUCCAGCAAUACCACGUGUGUGAAGAAGGCCUUAGGGUUGUAAAGCACUUUAGUCACUGAGGAAGGUUAUUAGGUUAAGAGCUAGAUAACUUGACGUUAGGUGAAGAAUAAGCACCGGCAAACUCCGUGCCAGCAGCCGCGGUAAUACGGAGGGUGCGAGCGUUAAUCGGAAUUACUGGGCGUAAAGGGUUCGUAGGUGGUUGAAUAAGUCAGAUGUGAAAGCCCUGUGCUUAACCUGGGAGGUGCAUAUGAUACUGUUUGACUAGAGUUUACUAGAGGAUUGGGGAAUUUCCGGUGUAGCGGUGAAAUGCGUAGAGAUCGGGAGGAACAUCGAUGGCGAAGGCAACAAUCUGGGGUUAAACUGACACUGAGGGACGAAAGCGUGGGGAUCAAACAGGAUUAGAUACCCUAGUAGUCU
RNAcentral lists this ribosomal RNA (468 nucleotides) under uncultured bacterium. RNAcentral describes it as "bacterial SSU rRNA". It matches the Rfam family "Bacterial small subunit ribosomal RNA", at positions 336 to 796 of the family's 1533-position model. The record is from RNAcentral.